GUCGGGGUGGCUCAGCCUGGUGGAGCGUCGGACUCAUAAUCCGAAGGUCGCGGGUUCAACUCCCGCCCCCGACA
This 74-nucleotide transfer RNA is filed under the name Thermoplasmata archaeon. RNAcentral's name for it is "tRNA-Met". It matches the Rfam family "tRNA". Rfam says of the family: Transfer RNA (tRNA) molecules are approximately 80 nucleotides in length. Lineage: Archaea; Methanobacteriati; Thermoplasmatota; Thermoplasmata. The record is from RNAcentral. RNAcentral also lists the same sequence under 1 other name.